UAAGCAAGGUGUGAAAUCGUACGGCUCAACCGUAUACACAUGCUUUGAACUGGCAAGCUAGAGUGUAGAAGAGGUCACUGGAAUUUCUAGUGUAGGAGUGAAAUCCGUAGAUAUUAGAAGGAACACCGAUGGCGUAGGCAGGUGACUGGUCUAUUACUGACGCUAAGGCACGAAAGCGUGGGGAGCGAACGGGAUUAGAUACCCCGGUAGUCCACGCCCUAAACUAUGGAUGCUA
Molecule: ribosomal RNA, 235 nt
Filed under: uncultured Candidatus Saccharibacteria bacterium
Lineage: Bacteria; Candidatus Saccharimonadota
Description: partial 16S ribosomal RNA
Rfam family: Bacterial small subunit ribosomal RNA
Source: RNAcentral